GUUAUAUGUCAGCUUCUGCAAUCCAUGGUACAACUACAAACCUGUGGGUAUUGUUGCUAAAAUAUGCAGUAUAGCACAUGAAUGUAUGGCAUACAAGUUGCAUACCUACAUAAUUUGAAUUGUUUUCGUGACUUCGUGGGUCAAUUUUAGGCUGCGGUUUUAGGAUCUGGCAGUAGCCAGAUCUGUUUGUGCUUAUGCCCGAAGGUAAAAUCUGGCGAUUUGGGUGAAGUACAAAGCCAAGUGUGAAGCUAUGAAGCGUAUCAACAAAGAGUAGCAUAUGUAUUGUAAUAGUAGGCAGUAUUAGGUAUAUCUGGGUAGUGGUGUAGUGUAAAGAUUGUAAUAGACAAAUUUAAUGUUGGUUUGGAUGAAUUUCAUUUGCUCCCUAGCCUGUUUGAAA
Long non-coding RNA from Hordeum vulgare subsp. vulgare (domesticated barley), 397 nucleotides. RefSeq lists it as uncharacterized. The record is from RefSeq and is a predicted model, not a curated record. Lineage: Eukaryota; Viridiplantae; Streptophyta; Magnoliopsida; Poales; Poaceae. The transcript has 2 exons.